Callithrix jacchus (white-tufted-ear marmoset) is the source of this 795-nucleotide long non-coding RNA. RefSeq lists it as uncharacterized. The record is from RefSeq and is a predicted model, not a curated record. NCBI's taxonomy places the organism in Eukaryota, Metazoa, Chordata, Mammalia, Primates, Cebidae.
CCCUUUCUUCCCAGUUAGAAAUCUAAGCUUGCAAGGAGAGGCUUACAACCGGUCAGUUGGUAACUUUUGUAGCUGUCUUGGUGGAGAGCUAUUUUUAGAAAUGGAUCCUAAAGCCUUGAAGAAAGUUAGCAUGCAGAGGCUUCCCCAAACAUCAUUGUUAACAGUAUCCUUCUCUUCCGGUGAUCUCUCUGAAAAAUGAUCACUUUAUGUAAUUUGAAAUCAUUUUUCUCCUGGUGUUGCCUACUUCAAGAACAUUUGCCAUGCCUUUACUUCUGUAUUCGAUCUUGACUCCUGCCCUCGUGUUUCAAAAGUAAUUGCUACAUUUCAGGCACCAUGCUGGGGAGGGAUUGUGAGGGUUGAACAAAGAAAAGAGGGCAAGGUUCUUGAGACCUCCUUCACCAGUGUGAGGGAUGAUAGGCACGCAUGGUCGGGGCCAGCAGAGAGAUAUGGGCAAAAUCCAUGCGAGUUCAGAGGAAGCAGAGAUUCCCGUGUGUUGGAGGAUCGGGGAAGCUUCGUGAAAGAGGCUGCAUUUGAGGGUAACCUUGAUGGACGAAAUGUCAGCAAAGAACUGGAGGGAAUGAAGGGGCGAUGGCUGCAGCCGGGGGUGACUGAACAGUUACAAGAUGCUUCUCAAAAACGGACUCACCUUUGGUGGACCGCUGGGAGCAGGCGAGCAGGUGUGACGGAGGCUUCCUGCAUCACUGCUGUCAGCUGCAGGAUGCGCUUCACUGGGGUCAGCAGACGCUGCAUCUCCAGAAGAUCAAGCAGAAAGCGAGGCGUUCACAGACCUUGAAA